This is a long non-coding RNA of Xenopus laevis (African clawed frog), 1850 nucleotides long. RefSeq lists it as uncharacterized. The record is from RefSeq and is a predicted model, not a curated record. NCBI's taxonomy places the organism in Eukaryota, Metazoa, Chordata, Amphibia, Anura, Pipidae. The transcript is spliced from 7 exons.
GUCUCAGAAUUCAUUGAACAAGUGUUAUGGUUUCAUUUCAAUAUGUGGAAUCAGGCAUGUUUGUUUAGAAAAAGUGUAAUUCAUAUCCUGGGUCACAGACUGAUCACAAAUAGUUUUGAAUGCAUAGUGGGAAAUGUAAUUUAAGUCAUGAAUGGAAAAAAAUUUUUACACAAUAAAAUGUUUGCAUUUAGCAAUGUAUCAAAUUGUAAUUGCACAUAUUGCACUUUUAGGGCAAGCUUGAAUGUUUUGAAGCAAAAGUAACUUUUUCAGUAAGGCGUUUUAUUACAUACACUGUGCACUGGUGCAGUCUUUUUUCCACUGGUGGAAGUGGUCACUAAACAAUUUCUGGGUUCUCUAAAGCUAUGUUAAAUUUGCACUAAGACAUGAAUUUUAUUACAUUUCUUCAGGGGUGCUGCUGCCAUGAGGCGAGUUGAGAAACUAGCAGCCCGGAAUUACCAGGGUUGACAAAAAGCAAGAAAUUAUUCAACCGAAAAUCAGGCGGCAAGGAAAAGAGAAUGCCUCUGCAUUCUUUUGUUUUAAUUUACCAAGGUUUGGACUUCCAGAAGGUUCUGUAAUGGAGACUAACCCUGGUAGUCUAGUGGUGCGGCGGGGACGUCGCCACGCUGCUCCUCUUCUCUUGUGCCAGCUCCUUCCUAGUGAUGACAUCAGCGCGCAAUGGCGCGAAAUUUAAAAGUAUUAAAGGGACAUUUCUACUGUUUCUCAUUGCCCGUGAUAGGAUUUGAUUCCUAGUGGUUUCCUGAGCCUUGUGCUAGUUCCUGUUUGUCUGAAAUCUGUUCUGAUCUCCUGUGUUUGACCCGGCCUGGCUUUUGACUUCUCUGACCUCUGAAAACCUGACCCUUGCCUGAAACCGACUUUGAUUCCGCUUGUCCCUCCUGAUUGACUUCCUGGUUUGACUCCUGCCUGUUGUUUGCUAAUGACACACCAGGCUGAGUCUCAACCUGGUGAGGCCGUAGCCAUGCACAGUGAAAUGUUUUUUGCAGCAGUCAAUCACUCAAACACAGUGGUUGUUUAAAGUUAUCAUCAUUAGCUCCCUACUUUGCUCAGGACACCCUUAGCUCAUAACAAUGUUACAGACAUAGGAAAACAGAAGAGGCUUUCAUCACACAGUAACCACUCUUCUAUGCCAGGAGGACUCCAAAGUAAAAGAAGAGAAACUAUUUAGUGUUACUGCAAGAAAAGAACCUAUCUGAGCACUGUGAAAUAAAGCAGGAAGAUGAUCAAACAAGUUCUGUGAUUGUCAAAGUAGAACCUGAUGAAGAUGAAGACUCUGCACCUGCAAAAAAAAAAACAAAAUAAAGGGAAAAAAGAGCAAGACAAGAGGAAGCUGCAGAACUGUCAAAGUGGGAGGAAGAAAAGUACGAAGACGGCAUAAAGUGGACGUUUCUAGAACAUAAAGGCCCCUUUUUUGCUCCACCCUAUGAGCCAUUGCUGGAUAAUGUGAACUUUAUUAUGACGGUUACAGGAAGAAAUGGCCAGUUUCCAAAUGUUGGAUCAUGAAUAUACAACCAAGGAGAUCAUUCGCAAUAAUUUCUUCAUGGAUUGGAGAAAGGAGAUGACACUGGCAGAAAAGAUGGUGAUUACUGACCUGGCCAAAUGAGUCCUGCGCGGUACCAAUUUCUAGGACCCGGACCCGACCCCAACCUGCAGCCCGCGACCUGAACUGCAACCUUCAUAUUUACCCACUUUGAUCCGCUACCCGACCCAGAUCCGUAACUGCCUUAUCCAAACCCGACCCGCAACUUGCCAACCACCAUCAAGCAGGAAGGGAUGGUGCUGCAAACUGGAAGUGACGUCAUCAAAAGUGGGUGGGACAGAAACACGUUUUGUAA